AGCUCCAAUAGCGUAUAUUAAAGUUGUUGCAGUUAAAAAGCUCGUAGUCGGAUUUCGGGUCGGGCCGAGCGGUCUGCCGAUGGGUAUGCACUGUUUGGCGCGGCCUUCUUUCCGGAGACCGCGGCUACUCUUAACUGAGCGGGCGUGGGAGACGGAUCGUUUACUUUGAAAAAAUCAGAGUGUUUCAAGCAGGCAGCUCGCUCUUGCAUGGAUUAGCAUGGAUAAUUGAAUUGCAUGGAUAAUUGAAUUGCAUGGAUUGCAUGGAUAAUUGAAUAGGACUCUGGUGCUAUUUUGUUGGUUUCGAACACCGGAGUAAUGAUUAACAGGGACAGUCAGGGGCACUCGUAUUCCGUCGAGAGAGGUGAAAUUCUCAGACCAAUGGAAGACGAACCACUGCGAAAGCAUUUGCCAGGGAUGUUUUCA
Molecule: ribosomal RNA, 423 nt
Filed under: uncultured eukaryote
Lineage: Eukaryota
Description: SSU rRNA
Rfam family: Eukaryotic small subunit ribosomal RNA
Source: RNAcentral